AACGGUAUGUACUAGCAAUAGUACAUUAGUGGCGGACCCGGUGCAGUAAUACAUGAGUAACCUGCCUUAUACAGGGGGAUAACACCUAGAAAUGGGUGCUAAUACCGCAUAAUAACCUAGUAUGGCAUCAUGCUAGGAGGAAAGGAGAAAUCCGGUAAAAGAUGGACUCAUGUUCGAUUAGCUAGUUGGUGGGGUAAAGGCCUACCAAGGCAACGAUCGAUAGCCGAACUGAGAGGUUGAACGGCCACAUUGGAACUGAGAAACGGUCCAGACUCCUACGGGAGGCAGCAGUGGGGAAUAUUGCGCAAUGGGGGAAACCCUGACGCAGCAACGCCGUGUGAAGGAAGAAGGCUCUAGGGUUGUAAACUUCUUUGAUUAGGGACGAAAGAAAUGACGGUACCUAAAGAACAAGCCACGGCUAACUACGUGCCAGCAGCCGCGGUAAUACGUAGGUGGCAAGCGUUGUCCGGAAUAACUGGGUGUAAAGGGCGAGUAGGUGGGACAUUAAGUCAGAUGUGAAAUUUGGGGGCUCAACUCCUAAGCUGCAUCUGAGACUAAAGUUCUUGAGUGCUGGAGAGGGAAGCGGAAUUCCUAGUGUAGCGGUGAAAUGCGUAGAUAUUA
This 621-nucleotide ribosomal RNA is filed under the name uncultured rumen bacterium. Its description in RNAcentral is "bacterial SSU rRNA". It matches the Rfam family "Bacterial small subunit ribosomal RNA", at positions 65 to 699 of the family's 1533-position model. The record is from RNAcentral.